UGGAAAGUGGCGGACGGGUGAGUAAUGUGUAGAGAAUCUGCCCUUAAGCGGGGGACAACAGUUGGAAACGACUGCUAAUACCCCAUAUGAGCGUAGCUGAAAUGCUAUUCUUGAAAACUCCGGUGCUUAAGGAUGAGUCUGCAUCUGAUUAGCUAGUUGGGGGUGUAAUGGACCACCAAGGCGACGAUCAGUAGCUGGUUUGAGAGGAUGAUCAGCCACAAUGGGACUGAGACACGGCCCAUACUCCUACGGGAGGCAGCAGUAGGGAAUUUUGCGCAAUGGGGGAAACCCUGACGCAGCAACGCCGCGUGACUGAAGAAGCCCUUCGGGGUGUAAAGGUCUGUCAGUGGGGACGAAAUCUGACGGUACCCACAGAGGAAGCAUCGGCUAACUCCGUGCCAGCAGCCGCGGUAAUACGGGGGAUGCAAGCGUUGUCCGGAAUCAUUGGGCGUAAAGAGUUCGUAGGUGGUUUGUUAAGUUAGGUGUUAAAUGCAGAGGCUCAACUUCUGAUCGGCACUUGAUACUGACAGACUUGAAUGCGGCAGAGGUAAAGGGAAUUCCUGAUGUAGCGGUGAAAUGCGUAGAUAUAUGGAGGAACACCAGUGGCGAAGGCGGCUUACUAGCUCGAUACUGACGCUCAGUCACGAAAGCGUGGGGAGCAAAUAGGAUUAGAUACCCUAGUAGUCCACGCCGUAAACUAUGACAACUAAGUAUUGCUGUGAGGCAGUGCUGAAGCUAACGCAUUAAGUUGUCCGCCUGGGGAGUACGGUCGCAAGACUGAAACUUAAAGGAAUUGACGGGGACCCGCACAAGCAGUGGAGCAUGUGGUUUAAUUCGAUGCUACGCGAAGAACCUUACCAGGACUUGACAUGGAUUCAAAUGUUCUAGAGAUAGAAAGAUAGUUAUGGAUCACACAGGUGGUGCAUGGUUGUCGUCAGCUCGUGUCGUGAGAUGUUGGGUUAAGUCCCGCAACGAGCGCAACCCUUGUCUUUAGUUACCAUCUUUAAGUUGGGGACUCUAAAGAGACUGCCGAUGUAAAUCGGAGGAAGGUGGGGAUGACGUCAAAUCAUCAUGCCCUUUAUGUCCUGGGCGACACACGUGCUACAAUGGCCGGUACAAAGAGACGCGAAACCGCGAGGCGGAGCAAAUCUCACAAAGCCGGUCUCAGUUCAGAUUGAAGUCUGCAACUCGACUUCAUGAAGUCGGAAUUGCUAGUAAUCGCAGAUCAGCCAUGCUGCGGUGAAUACGUUCCCGGGUCUUGUACACACCGCCCGUCA
Molecule: ribosomal RNA, 1277 nt
Filed under: uncultured bacterium
Lineage: Bacteria
Description: bacterial SSU rRNA
Rfam family: Bacterial small subunit ribosomal RNA
Source: RNAcentral